UGGUUCGAUUAUGGCUCAGGAUUGAACGCUGGUGAUGCUUUACACAUGCAAGUCGAACGGCAGCACGGACUUCGGUCUGGUGUGGCGAGUGGCGAACGGGUAGCAAUGUAUCGGAACGUGCCUAGUAGCGGGGGAUAACUACGCGAAAGCGUAGCUACCGCAUACGCCCUUCGGGGGAAAGCGGGGACCUUCGCCCCUGCACUAUUAGAGCGGCCGAUAUCGGAUUAGCCAGUUGGUGGGGUAACGGCUCACCAAGGCGACGAUCCGUAGCUGGUUUGAGAGGACGACCAGCCACACUGGGACUGAGACAUGAACCCAGACUCCUACGGGAGGCAGCAGUGGGGAAUUUUGGACAAUGGGGAAACCCUGAUCCAGCCAUCCCGCGUGUGCGAUGAAGGCCUUCGGGCUAAAAAGACCUUUGGCAGGAAAGAAACGGCACGGGAUAAUACCCCGUGCAACUGACGGCCUGCAGAAUAAGCACCGGCUAACUACGUGCCACAGCAGCCGCGGUAAUACGUAGGGUGCAAGCGUUAACGGGAAGACGGGCGGAAGCGUGCGUGCGGUUCGGCAAAGAUGUGAAAUCCCAGAGCUAACUUUGGAACUGCAUUUUUAACUACCGAGCUAGAGUGUGUCAGAGGGAGGUGGAAUUCGCGUGUAGCAGUGGGAAAUGUAGAUAUGCGGAGGGAACACCGAUGGCGAAGGCAGCCUCCUGGGAUAACACUGACGCUCAUGCACGAAAGCGUGGGGAGCAAACAGGAUUAGAUACCCUGGUAGUCCGCCUCAAACGAUGUCAACUAGCUGUUGGGGCCUUCGGGCCAUGGUAGCGGGCAGCUAACGCGUGAAGUUGACCGCCUGGGAGUACGGUCAAGAUUAAAACCUAAAGGAAUUGACGGGGACCCGCACAAGCGGUGGAUGAUGGGAUUAAUUCGAUGCAACGCGAAAAACCUUACCUACUCCUGAUGUCUGGAAUCCCGAAGAGAUUUGGGAGUGCUCGCAAGAGAACCGGAACACCACAGGUGUUGGUAUGGCUGUCGUCAGCUCGUGUCGUGAGAUGGGUUGUCCCGCAACGAGCGGCAACCCUUGUCAUUAGUUGCUACGAAAGGGCACUCUAUCGAGACUGCCGGUGACAAACCGAGGAAGGUGGGAUGACGUCAAGUCCUCAUGGCCCUUAUGGGUAGGGCUUCACACGUCAUACAAUGGUCGGGACAGAGGGUCGCCAACCCGCGAGGGGGAGCCAAUCCCAGAACCCGAUCGUGGUCCGGAUCGCAGUCUGCAACUCGACUGCGUGAAGUCGGAAUCGCUAGUAAUCGCGGAUCAGCAUGUCGCGGUGAAUACGUUCCCGGGUCUUGUACACACCGCCCGUCACACCAUGGGAGUGGGUUUUACCAGAAGCAGCGGCCUAACCGUGGCGAGGGCGAUUACCACGGUAGGAUUCAUGACUGGGGUGAAGUCGUAACAAGGUAGCCCUG
This 1469-nucleotide ribosomal RNA is filed under the name uncultured Bordetella sp. Its description in RNAcentral is "partial 16S-23S ribosomal RNA intergenic spacer". It matches the Rfam family "Bacterial small subunit ribosomal RNA". The record is from RNAcentral. Lineage: Bacteria; Pseudomonadati; Pseudomonadota; Betaproteobacteria; Burkholderiales; Alcaligenaceae.